Molecule: ribosomal RNA, 578 nt
Filed under: uncultured bacterium
Lineage: Bacteria
Description: bacterial SSU rRNA
Rfam family: Bacterial small subunit ribosomal RNA
Source: RNAcentral
ACGGGUGAGUAACGCGUAGGAAUAUACCUUAAAGAGGGGGACAACUUGGGGAAACUCAAGCUAAUACCGCAUAAUAUCCGAGGAUAAAAGCUGGGGACCUUCGGGCCUGGCGCUUUAAGAUUAGCCUGCGUCCGAUUAGCUAGUUGGUAGGGUAAAGGCCUACCAAGGCGACGAUCGGUAGCUGGUCUGAGAGGAUGACCAGCCACACUGGAACUGAGACACGGUCCAGACUCCUACGGGAGGCAGCAGUGGGGAAUAUUGGACAAUGGGGGCAACCCUGAUCCAGCAAUGCCGCGUGUGUGAAGAAGGCCUGAGGGUUGUAAAGCACUUUCGUUAGGGAGGAGGCUACUUAGGUUAAGAGUUAAAGUAGUGGACGUUACCUUUAGAAGAAGCACCGGCUAACUCCGUGCCAGCAGCCGCGGUAAUACGGAGGGUGCGAGCGUUAAUCGGAAUUACUGGGCGUAAAGGGUGCGUAGGUGGUCUGAUAAGUUAUCUGUGAAAUCCCUGGGCUCAACCUGGGCAGGUCAGAUAAUACUGUUGGACUCGAGUAUGGGAGAGGGUAGUGGAAUUUCCGGUGU